RNAcentral lists this transfer RNA (71 nucleotides) under Loxodonta africana (African savanna elephant). It matches the Rfam family "tRNA". Rfam says of the family: Transfer RNA (tRNA) molecules are approximately 80 nucleotides in length. Their secondary structure includes four short double-helical elements and three loops (D, anti-codon, and T loops). The record is from Rfam by way of RNAcentral. Lineage: Eukaryota; Metazoa; Chordata; Mammalia; Proboscidea; Elephantidae.
GCAGUGGUGGUUCAGUGGUAGAAGUCUUGCCUUCCACUCAGGAGACCUGGGUUCGAUUCCCGGCCAACGCA